This 1993-nucleotide long non-coding RNA is filed under the name Homo sapiens (human). RNAcentral's name for it is "HSALNT0173323". Lineage: Eukaryota; Metazoa; Chordata; Mammalia; Primates; Hominidae. The record is from RNAcentral.
GGCUAGUAUCGCGAGAUCAGGAAGGUGGCCGAGUGUGUCGCCGCGGCCAUCAGGCACUUCUCCUUCCUGCCCUUGUAUGAAGAAGGAUGUGUUUGCUUCCCCUUGUGCCAUGAUUGUAAAUUUCCUGAGGCCUCCUCAGCCCUGCAGAACUGGCUAGAGCAAUGUAUCUUAGGCUCACUUAAGGAAGCUGUAGAGAUGAGCCCAAGGAGGGAAACCAGAAGAGCCCCCCAGGCUCACCAGUUGUUUGUUGGCUCCCUACAAACAUGUCAUUCAAGUGGCUAAUCUUACAACAGCACAAAUUCAUCUAACCAGAGAUACUCUAUUAUAGCAAAGAAGAAAGAUAAUUUCAUUGAGCCAUCCUGUUUUACAGUAUUGAAUUAUUACCACAAGGUACCAACCAUAUAUGCAUACUUAAUAGGGUAUUUUGUCAAAACUAUGCAUGAAGGUCAUUUGUUUGAGAUGUCAGAACAUUUUCCCGUGAGAAGAUCUCAUUGGGCAUUGAAACAGAACCACAUGCUCUUCAGACCAGCAACCGCGACUACCAAAUACUCCUCUGUCAACUCUACUUGAAAAAAAUCGUGGUGACACAAAAUCUUUCUUUUUAGCACCCAACAGAAUCCCUUCAAAGCCUCGUGGUCUGACACCCUAUGCUACGUGACUUGUGACCCAUCCAUUUGUCAUGUUCUUCGGGAAUGUGGCUAAGGGGCUAAGAUGUGACUUGAAAAGAAAGGUAGAACAAGAUCAUCUCAAAUUUAUUAUCAAGGAAUAGUUCAGAAAACGACUUCAGACCACAGAGACAGCAGAACAGAUGGUCCGGCAUGGAUAGAGCAUCAGACACUCACAGACUGUGCCAACAAGAGCCAUCGAGUCAAAACAGCCAAAGGAAGGAGGGUCAUGGAAUGGGUUCUCUCACACCAAACUGAUGCCCAGAGGCCCUCAGCAUGAAUAACAAAGGCAACCAGACCCACAAGCCAUACUGAGUGGAUACAAAACCUAUACCUAGGCUGACAUCCCAAAUGUGUGUGGCAAGUUAGAUGAUGAUGGCACAAAAGACAGAACACCUUGCUUCUGGCCAUUGUCAGCUCUUGGAAGAGAGCACACUUUUAGAGGAGCAGCUGCAAGGAGCCUGAGAACAAAACUGGAAAUGUCUGUUAUGAAAGCCUUCACAGGAAAUUCUGCAAGUGGCAACGUGGGUCCAUUCCGUGUGUGUCACUAGAGCUGGCGCAAGCCCAUGGCCAUGGUGAGGCAGCGUUUCCACUGGAACUAAUCUGAUACCUGCACCAGCUCUUGCAACUGUGCAGUGUUCCCACUGCAAACUACGGAUGGGGUAAAAGACUGCUCACCUCCUAUUUCUCAUCUAAUCUCACACACUCUGUUUGAUGAGGCUAUGGAGAAACAGGUCUUCUCAUACACUAAAGGUGGGAGUACAAACAAUUCAAGCCCUGUGCAGGACAAUUAGGCAAUACCUAUCAAAAUUAUACAUGAUUUUUCCUGCUGACCCAGCAAUUCCACUUCUGGGAAUAAUUGACAGAUAUAGGUGCAUAUGUACAAAAUGAUGGAAAGCUCUCUGGUAUAUAUUAGUAAGUGAUAAAACAAGGUGUAAAAUAGUGUAUAUAUGGCUACUACCUUUUGUUUUAAAAAUGGGGGAAAAUGGUGGAGCUUGCGGUGAGCCGAGAUCGUGCCACUGCACUCCAGCCUGGGCGACAGAGCGAGACUCCGUCUCAAAAAAAAAACAGGGUGGGGUGGGGGGGAAAUAAUAGUACAUACUCAUAUUUACCUGUAUCUAUAUAAAACACACUAUCAAGGAUUCACAAGAAACUAAUACAAAUGAUCACCUUAUAGAUGGUAUGUAUUGGGGGAUACUGAGGUGAGCAGGGUAUAAGUGGGGCAAGACUUUUCAGUGUAAACUUCUUUUAAAUUUUAUUUUGAUUUUUGAAUAAUGUAAAUUAACUGUCAAAUAAUUAAAUUAAAAAUAACCAAUUUAUUAACAAAA